GCGUUGAAUUUACGACAUAUUUUUAUGAAUAAGAAUCUUUUUAUCUAAUCAACCUGUUUUCGCUAUGAAAAGAUUGUUUUUGCCAAGAUUGUUCUUUCACUUUCGUGCAAUUUAUUUUGAUUUUGAGAUGGUCCCUAUAAAGCUUUAAUCAUACCUGGGGUUUACAUUUGCACAAUCACGGUUGUUUUUGCCUUUUAAUAUUGCAUUGUGGGAUCGCGCACAGCUAUCAAUUUACCUGUUUACCGACAUUGAAAGUGGAUGAAAAUAUGGCUGGAAAGGGUAAGUAAUUACAAAUCGUUCUAAAGAUUUUUAUAAAAGGAAUUAUGCACAAUUUUGAUAUUUUGCCAAUUGUAUUAGUUUCCUUGUAUAUAAUGUUAAAAUAGUGAAUCAUUGGUCAUAGAAUGGCAUUUUUUAUAUUGAUUUACAAAUUUGUGACAUAAUUUCAACAUAAAAAUAAAUGGCAAGUUUUCAAUUUCUAUUAGGUAUUUUAUAUAUAUUUUUCAGGUGUUGUCUUAAUGAAAAAUCCUAUUAUAAAAAAGUGAAUGACAAGUUUACCUGCCCAAAAUGUGGGAACAUAUUUACACCAACAACAGCUGGACAUGCUGUUGUUUUAAAGACACUUAUCCAGUGCAGAAACUCACUAUCUUUACACCACAACUCAAAGUUUUGUUGGAAUCAGCUACUAUCCCAGUGAACAGAACAAAUUUAAAUGAAGCAAUAUCUUCUUUAAAGAAAAAGCUGCCAUUAAAAGUGUUCUUCCAAAAUGAAGGGG
Molecule: long non-coding RNA, 772 nt
Filed under: Mytilus galloprovincialis (Mediterranean mussel)
Lineage: Eukaryota; Metazoa; Mollusca; Bivalvia; Mytilida; Mytilidae
Source: RNAcentral